GGAUAUCUGUACAGCAUAC
RNAcentral lists this small nuclear RNA (19 nucleotides) under Arabidopsis thaliana (thale cress). Its description in RNAcentral is "snRNA_16036". Lineage: Eukaryota; Viridiplantae; Streptophyta; Magnoliopsida; Brassicales; Brassicaceae. The record is from RNAcentral.